UCGGUGUAGGAUGAGACUAUAUAGUAUCAGCUAGUUGGUAAGGUAAUGGCUUACCAAGGCUAUGACGCUUAACUGGUCUGAGAGGAUGAUCAGUCACACUGGAACUGAGACACGGUCCAGACUCCUACGGGAGGCAGCAGUAGGGAAUAUUGCGCAAUGGGGGAAACCCUGACGCAGCAACGCCGCGUGGAGGAUGACACUUUUCGGAGCGUAAACUCCUUUUCUUAGGGAAGAAUUCUGACGGUACCUAAGGAAUAAGCACCGGCUAACUCCGUGCCAGCAGCCGCGGUAAUACGGAGGGUGCAAGCGUUACUCGGAAUCACUGGGCGUAAAGGGCGCGUAGGCGGAUUAUCAAGUCUCUUGUGAAAUCUAAUGGCUUAACCAUUAAACUGCUUGGGAAACUGAUAGUCUAGAGUGAGGGAGAGGCAGAUGGAAUUGGUGGUGUAGGGGUAAAAUCCGUAGAUAUCACCAAGAAUACCCAUUGCGAAGGCGAUCUGCUGGAACUCAACUGACGCUAAGGCGCGAAAGCGUGGGGAGCAAACAGGAUUAGAUACCCUGGUAGUCCACGCCCUAAACGAUGUACACUAGUUGUUGGGGUGCUAGUCAUCUCAGUAAUGCAGCUAACGCAUUAAGUGUACCGCCUGGGGAGUACGGUCGCAAGAUUAAAACUCAAAGGAAUAGACGGGGACCCGCACAAGCGGUGGAGCAUGUGGUUUAAUUCGAAGAUACGCGAAGAACCUUACCUGGGCUUGAUAUCCUAAGAACCUUUUAGAGAUAAGAGGGUGCUAGCUUGCUAGAACUUAGAGACAGGUGCUGCACGGCUGUCGUCAGCUCGUGUCGUGAGAUGUUGGGUUAAGUCCCGCAACGAGCGCAACCCACGUAUUUAGUUGCUAACGGUUCGGCCGAGCACUCUAAAUAGACUGCCUUCGUAAGGAGGAGGAAGGUGUGGACGACGUCAAGUCAUCAUGGCCCUUAUGCCCAGGGCGACACACGUGCUACAAUGGCAUAUACAAUGAGACGCAAUACCGCGAGGUGGAGCAAAUCUAUAAAAUAUGUCCCAGUUCGGAUUGUUCUCUGCAACUCGAGAGCAUGAAGCCGGAAUCGCUAGUAAUCGUAGAUCAGCCAUGCUACGGUGAAUACGUUCCCGGGUCUUGUACUCACCGCCCGUCACACCAUGGGAGUUGAUUUCACUCGAAGCCGGAAUACUAAACUAGUUACCGUCCACAGUGGAAUCAGCGACUGGGGUGAAGUCGUAACAAGGUAACCGUAGGAGAACCUGCGGUUGGAUCACCUCCUUUCUA
RNAcentral lists this ribosomal RNA (1301 nucleotides) under Campylobacter jejuni. Its description in RNAcentral is "bacterial SSU rRNA". It matches the Rfam family "Bacterial small subunit ribosomal RNA", at positions 215 to 1533 of the family's 1533-position model. Lineage: Bacteria; Pseudomonadati; Campylobacterota; Epsilonproteobacteria; Campylobacterales; Campylobacteraceae. The record is from RNAcentral.